Molecule: long non-coding RNA, 908 nt
Organism: Peromyscus maniculatus bairdii (prairie deer mouse)
Lineage: Eukaryota; Metazoa; Chordata; Mammalia; Rodentia; Cricetidae
Source: RefSeq, a predicted model, not a curated record
CCAGAGUGUUAGAGUUCAAAAUGGCUGGGACAGCACUGUAGCAAGCAGUGAGCAAGAUGGCAGGAACAGGAAGCUGAGAACUCACAUCUUAAACAACAUCCAGGGGACUGGAUGGGUCAUGAAUCUUAUAACUCUUAAAACCCUUCUCCAGUGAUGUAUAGCCUCCAACAAGGCUGCACCUCCUAACUCCUCCCAAACAGCACCACCUACUGGACAGCAAGUGGUCAAGCAUCAGCACCUAUGAGGGACAUUCUCAUUCAAAUCACCACAAAAAAAAAAAAAAGAAAAUUUUUAAAAAGUCACCUCAAAACUUAUAUGAUAUCUAUCAAUAAUUUGACAACUGUGUAUAUGUAUAAGUAAAUAAUAUGUUUACACCAGCUGGGCAUUCUCUGAUCAUUGUGGAGAUAAGCAUAGCAAUAUAGAAUUCUGGAAUUUAAAUGAUCAAAUCACUACCUAACAGAAAGGAAGAAGUUAAAAAUGCUCAGAAGGAAGGAUGAUGAGCACAAGAGGACCACAGUUCAAUGGGACUUUUCCACAGGAAGAAGAAGUAAGAGUCAAUACUCUUCCAGGAGGUAGACACUACAGGUUUGCUCACCUGGCCUACAGGUAUACCUAAAGCUCAUGAGAUCAUCAUCCUUUUCUGGAGACAGAAUCCAUACUGCCUUGAGUCCUAAACCAUGAAACAUGACACCACCUCUGGAAAUGUAGAGGGCGGCCUAAGACAUCUCACUUCCUGAUGGUUGAUGGAACAGUGCAGACAUUAGUGCUACCUUCACAGAACAGCCCUUGAUCACAGCCCUUGAUCUCCAGCACAACAGUGCUGUUGGUUUACUUCAGAAUAAGAUGAAAACUGACACAUAAUAUUGUUGUUCUAUCUUUCUUCUCAUGCAAAUAAAACUAUGGAUCAA